CCUACGUGAGGCAGCAGUGAGGAAUAUUGGUCAAUGGGCGGAAGCCUGAACCAGCCAAGUCGCGUGAGGGAAUAAGGCCCUACGGGUCGUAAACCUCUUUUGCCGGGGAGCAAGGUCGGGGACGUGUCCCGGCCCGGAGAGUACCCGGAGAAAAAGCAUCGGCUAACUCCUGGCCAGCAGCCGCGGUAAUACGGAGGAUGCGAGCGUUAUCCGGAUUUAUUGGGUUUAAAGGGUGCGUAGGCGGGCUUUUAUGUCGGCGGGAAAAAUUCGGGGCUCAACGCAGUCCGGCCGUUGAAACUGGGGGCCUUGAGUGGGCGAGAAGAAGGCGGAAUGCGCGGUGUAGCGGUGAAAUGCAUAGAUAUCACGCAGAACCCCGAUUGCGAAGGCAGCCUUCCGGCGCCCUACUGACGCUGAGGCACGAAAGUGCGGGGAUCGAACAGGAUUAGAUACCCUUGUAGUC
RNAcentral lists this ribosomal RNA (460 nucleotides) under uncultured bacterium. RNAcentral's name for it is "partial 16S ribosomal RNA". It matches the Rfam family "Bacterial small subunit ribosomal RNA", at positions 338 to 795 of the family's 1533-position model. The record is from RNAcentral.